GGCGCUGUGGCUAAGUUGGUUAAAGCGCCUGUCUAGUAAACAGAAGAUCCUGAGUUCGUAUCUCAGCAGUGCCU
RNAcentral lists this transfer RNA (74 nucleotides) under Dallia pectoralis (Alaska blackfish). RNAcentral describes it as "tRNA-OTHER". It matches the Rfam family "tRNA". Rfam says of the family: Transfer RNA (tRNA) molecules are approximately 80 nucleotides in length. Their secondary structure includes four short double-helical elements and three loops (D, anti-codon, and T loops). Further hydrogen bonds mediate the characteristic L-shaped molecular structure. tRNAs have two regions of fundamental functional importance: the anti-codon, which is responsible for specific mRNA codon recognition, and the 3' end, to which the tRNAs corresponding amino acid is attached (by aminoacyl-tRNA synthetases). tRNAs cope with the degeneracy of the genetic code in two manners: having more than one tRNA (with a specific anti-codon) for a particular amino acid; and 'wobble' base-pairing, i.e. permitting non-standard base-pairing at the 3rd anti-codon position. The record is from RNAcentral. Lineage: Eukaryota; Metazoa; Chordata; Actinopteri; Esociformes; Umbridae.